AUGCAAUGAAGUUACUGAGAGCAUGGAGUGCUCUCAUCAUCAGCAAAGCAGGCAGUUUGCUUUGUUCCUACUUCUCAAGCUCUCGGUCUGAUGAAAAGACAAGGUACUUGAGGAAUGUUUCAGUUCUACAAAAAUUCUGCACAAAUGUAAUGUUUAGUGAAGAUUAAAAUACAAUGACUGUGCUGCCGAGUGCUGCCUUCUUAUUUAGUGUAAUCCUUUAUCAAAUAUUAUUCUUCUGUUAGUCAGUAACAUCUAGAAAGAAGCUUCUGAUGAGUGUUUUUUUCAUCUAUUUCUGUACUACUUAAGUGGUUUGCAGAAUGGAAGUGUUACUCAUGUUCUAGACUGAAUGCUACAAGGAUAUUUUUUUCCAGUUUUCUGAAGGGCUGUUUUAUUGGAUAAUUCCAGUGGCUGCAUAGAAAAAUCCCUCCAGGCAUUGCAUGAGAAAGUCACUUCUGAAGUUGUUUCCAUCUGGCUCUGACAUUUGUUGAGUUACAAGUAUAGUACUGAUUUCGCUAUGGGUGUUUUAGUUUAAACAUUUUCAGUUUAACAAUAAUGGCAGUAAUGCAUUUAAAUUCAUUAAGUGAGGAAAUACAGGAAAUCACAACUUCAGAUUUACAUCUAAAAUGAUUAUUUACUACAGGUUUUGUUUUGAGAUGCAUUGAUCCACCAAGGGCAAGGCCUCCUUGUUACAGCUGAGCCAGGUUUUUGAAACUAGACUGGGUUAUAGUUAACUGGAUCUUGAAACCACGUGCCACACAAUGAGCAGAACAGAAAUCAGCUGGUUCUUCGAGUGGGGGGGGGGAAUGAAAGCUUUCAAUUUCCUGAUGAAGUAACCAACCACACCUGUUUCUCUACCAGAUGAAACUGAAAAGAAAACUUUGAGUCAGAUAAUGCCAAAGCACGUGGCUGUCUUGUUGGGUAUGACUGUGUCCAAGCCUGCUGUGCUGCCUGGGAGGGGGCUGAGGAUCAGCAUCCUCUGCUGUGAGCACUGGAUGCCUGUGCACAGCAGUGGCCGAGCAUCCCAGCGGGCUUCUUCCAAAGAAAUGGAAAAAGAAAAGGGGGGAGGGCUUGGUAGGGACUUGGCUGGUGCCCACAUCCAGUAAAGCAGUGAAAGAGAAAAGCUUUAAGAAAGUUGUGACCUUUUUGUUUCUUUUGCUCCCCUCAGUGUUAUCAGAGGGGAAAUGUUCUUCUUGAGAUUUUGCUGAAAUGGUUUGUGAGCCGUGUGGAAGCUUGGUGGAAUUUCAGAAUGGACUGAUAGAGGAUUUCCAGGCAGCGGUGACCUGCAGGAGGGUGUGGGGAUGACUCGAGCUGCCCUCCAGCAGGAUGCUCUCACUGCUGGGCCUUGGCACCUGCAGCAAGGUGUACAUUAGUAGUAAAAUCAUGAAUGUUGUUAAACUGAUGUUAAUUAUUUAAACAGGGCCCGGCUCGCACUUGUUUUUUUUUUUUUUGUUUGUUUUUUAAUGCUCUUUCUUCCCUGUGAGGUAGCUAGAGCUAAACAUAAACUGCAUUAAAGCUGGAGGACUGGCAGGGGAUGUAAAGUUACAGCAUGUGCUGGGAGGAUGGAAGUGCAGAGAGGACCGCUUGGCAGGAGCCGUUUCCCACGAGUGUGGGAGCAGUGCUGCAAGGACUGGGGAAGGAGCAGCGCUUAUUCCUCGGCCUCUUUAGAAGGCUUGUCCCCUCACAUCAGCUGCAUUUCAAUCCUUGCCAGGCAAAGAAUUGAAAUAGCCAUGUGAGGUCCCCAUUUGGCUCAGCACUCACAGGCCCAGUCCAAAGGAUGAGCCUCGUGCUGGUUACAGCCUUUUUACAAACCCGGAGGAAAGGCACGGAGGCACACGGAAUCGCUGACCCGAGGUUCUGCGGCCAGCUGCCAGGGCUCUG
Meleagris gallopavo (turkey) is the source of this 1878-nucleotide non-coding RNA. NCBI's taxonomy places the organism in Eukaryota, Metazoa, Chordata, Aves, Galliformes, Phasianidae. The record is from RefSeq and is a predicted model, not a curated record.